AGAGUUUGAUCAUGGCUCAGAAUCAACGCUGGCGGCGCGCCUAACACAUGCAAGUCGAACGAGAAAGUGGAGCAAUCCAUGAGUACAGUGGCGUACGGGUGAGUAACACGUGGGUAAUCUACCUUUUAGUGAGGAAUAACCGAGGGAAACUUUGGCUAAUACCGCAUAAGCCUGAGAAGGGAAAGCAGAAAUGCGCUGAAAGAGGAGCCCGCGGCCGAUUAGCUAGUUGGUGGGGUAAGAGCCCACCAAGGCAGAGAUCGGUAGCCGGCCUGAGAGGGCACACGGCCACACUGGCACUGAAACACGGGCCAGACUCCUACGGGAGGCAGCAGUGGGGAAUCUUGCACAAUGGGGGAAACCCUGAUGCAGCGACGCCGCGUGAGCGAUGAAGCCCUUCGGGGUGUAAAGCUCUUUCGUCAGGGAAGAUAGUGACGGUACCUGGAGAAGCAGCUGCGGCUAACUACGUGCCAGCAGCCGCGGUAAUACGUAGGCAGCAAGCGUUGUUCGGAGUUACUGGGCGUAAAGGGUGUGUAGGCGGUUCUUUAAGUUUGGUGUGAAAUCUCCCGGCUUAACCGGGAGGGUGCGCCGAAUACUGAGGGACUAGAGUACGGGAGAGGAAAGUGGAAUUCCUGGUGUAGCGGUGAAAUGCGUAGAUAUCAGGAGGAACACCGGUGGUGUAGACGGCUUUCUGGACCGUAACUGACGCUGAGACACGAAAGCGUGGGUAGCAAACAGGAUUAGAUACCCUAGUAGUCC
This 756-nucleotide ribosomal RNA is filed under the name uncultured bacterium. Its description in RNAcentral is "bacterial SSU rRNA". It matches the Rfam family "Bacterial small subunit ribosomal RNA", at positions 8 to 796 of the family's 1533-position model. The record is from RNAcentral.